GAACGAACGCUAGCGGCGUGCCUAACACAUGCAAGUCGUACGAGAAAUCCCGGGCAACUGGGAGAGUAAAGUGGCGCACGGGUGAGUAACGCGUGGGUAAUCUACCUUGGAGUUCGGAAUAACACCUCGAAAGGGGUGCUAAUACCGGAUAUCGUCCCAGGGGUUUCGGCUCCGGGGAUGAAAGAUGGCUGAGGCUUGCAAGCUAUUGCUCCAAGAUGAGCCCGCGUACCAUUAGCUAGUUGGUGGGGUAACGGCCCACCAAGGCAAUGAUGGUUAGCUGGUCUGAGAGGAUGACCAGCCACACUGGAACUGAGAUACGGUCCAGACUCCUACGGGAGGCAGCAGUGAGGAAUCUUGCGCAAUGGGGGCAACCCUGACGCAGCAACGCCGCGUGAGUGAUGAAGGCCUUCGGGUCGUAAAGCUCUGUCAGGCGGAAAGAAUGUUUCCAGGGUGAACAAUCCUGGAGAUUGACGGUACCGCCAGAGGAAGCACCGGCUAACUCCGUGCCAGCAGCCGCGGUAA
This 522-nucleotide ribosomal RNA is filed under the name uncultured delta proteobacterium. Its description in RNAcentral is "bacterial SSU rRNA". It matches the Rfam family "Bacterial small subunit ribosomal RNA", at positions 27 to 523 of the family's 1533-position model. The record is from RNAcentral. Lineage: Bacteria; Deltaproteobacteria.